GACGAACGCUGGCGGCGUGCUUAACACAUGCAAGUCGAACGGAAAGGCCCUGCUUUUGUGGGGUGCUCGAGUGGCGAACGGGUGAGUAACACGUGAGUAACCUGCCCUUGACUUUGGGAUAACUUCAGGAAACUGGGGCUAAUACCGGAUAGGAGCUCCUGCUGCAUGGUGGGGGUUGGAAAGUUUCGGCGGUUGGGGAUGGACUCGCGGCUUAUCAGCUUGUUGGUGGGGUAGUGGCUUACCAAGGCUUUGACGGGCAGCCGGCCUGAGAGGGUGACCGGCCACAUUGGGACUGAGAUACGGCCCAGACUCCUACGGGAGGCAGCAGUGGGGAAUAUUGCACAAUGGGCGGAAGCCUGAUGCAGCAACGCCGCGUGCGGGAUGACGGCCUUCGGGUUGGAAACCGCUUUCGCCUGUGACGAAGCGUGAGUGACGGUAAUGGGGAAAGAAGCACCGGCGAACUACGU
Molecule: ribosomal RNA, 467 nt
Filed under: uncultured bacterium
Lineage: Bacteria
Description: partial 16S ribosomal RNA
Rfam family: Bacterial small subunit ribosomal RNA
Source: RNAcentral